CAUAUCAAUAAGCGGAGGAAAAGAAACCAACAGGGAUUGCCCUAGUAACGGCGAGUGAAGCGGCAACAGCUCAAAUAUGAAAUCUGGCUCUUUUGGAGUCCGAGUUGUAAUUUGCAGAGGGCGCUUUGGCGUUGGCAGCGGUCCAAGUUCUUUGGAACAGGACGUCAUAGAGGGUGAGAAUCCCGUACGUGGUCGCUAGCCUUCGCCGUGUAAAGCCCCUUCGACGAGUCGAGUUGUUUGGGAAUGCAGCUCUAAAUGGGAGGUAAAUUUCUUCUAAAGCUAAAUACUGGCCAGAGACCGAUAGCGCACAAGUAGAGUGAUCGAAAGAUGAAAAGCACUUUGGAAAGAGAGUCAAAUAGCACGUGAAAUUGUUGAAAGGGAAGCGCUUGCAGCCAGACUUGCCUGUAGUUGCUUAUCCGGACUUUUGUCCGGUGCACUCUUCUGCGGGCAGGCCAGCAUCAGUUUGGGCGGUUGGAUAAAGGUCUCUGUCAUGUACCUCUCUUCGGAGAGGCCUUAUAGGGGAGACGACAUGCAACCAGCCUGGACUGAGGUCCGCGCAUCUGCUAGGAUGCUGGCGUAAUGGCUGUAAGCGGCCCGUCUUGAAACACGGACCAAGGAGUCUAACAUUUAUGCGAGUGUUUGGGUGUCAAGCCCAGACGCGUAAUGAAAGUGAACGGAGGUGGGAACCCUUUGGGUGCACCAUCGACCGAUCCUGAUGUCUUCGGAUGGAUUUGAGUAAGAGCAUGGCUGUUGGGACCCGAAAGAUGGUGAACUAUGCUUGAAUAGGGUGAAGCCAGAGGAAACUCUGGUGGAGGCUCGCAGCGGUUCUGACGUGCAAAUCGAUCGUCAAAUUUGGGCAUAGGGGCGAAAGACUAAUCGAAC
This 882-nucleotide ribosomal RNA is filed under the name Bhatiellae rosae. Its description in RNAcentral is "eukaryotic LSU rRNA". It matches the Rfam family "Eukaryotic large subunit ribosomal RNA", at positions 39 to 940 of the family's 3401-position model. The record is from RNAcentral. Lineage: Eukaryota; Fungi; Ascomycota; Dothideomycetes; Pleosporales; Phaeosphaeriaceae.